UGGGGAAUAUUGCACAAUGGGGGAAACCCUGAUGCAGCGACGCCGCGUGAACGAAGAAGGUAUUCGUAUCGUAAAGUUCUGUCCUAUGGGAAGAUAAUGACAGUACCAUAGAAGAAAGCUCCGGCUAAAUACGUGCCAGCAGCCGCGGUAAUACGUAUGGAGCGAGCGUUGUCCGGAAUUAUUGGGCGUAAAGGGUACGCAGGCGGUUUAAUAAGUCGAAUGUUAAAGAUCGGGGCUCAACCCCGCAAAGCAUUGGAAACUGAUAAACUUGAGUAGUGGAGAGGAAAGUGGAAUUCCUAGUGUAGUGGUAAAAUACGUAGAUAUUAGGAGGAAUACCAGUAGCGAAGGCGACUUUCUGGACACAAACUGACGCUGAGGUACGAAAGCGUGGGGAGCAAACAGG
This 403-nucleotide ribosomal RNA is filed under the name bacterium. RNAcentral describes it as "partial 16S ribosomal RNA". It matches the Rfam family "Bacterial small subunit ribosomal RNA", at positions 355 to 776 of the family's 1533-position model. The record is from RNAcentral.